RNAcentral lists this ribosomal RNA (497 nucleotides) under uncultured bacterium. RNAcentral describes it as "partial 16S ribosomal RNA". It matches the Rfam family "Bacterial small subunit ribosomal RNA", at positions 28 to 507 of the family's 1533-position model. The record is from RNAcentral.
GGUGAACGCUGGCGGCGUGCCUAAUACAUGCCAGUCGAGCGAACAGACGAGGAGCUUGCUCCUCUGACGUUAGCGGCGGACGGGUGAGUAACACGUGGAUAACCUACCUAUAAGACUGGGAUAACUUCGGGAAACCGGAGCUAAUACCGGAUAAUAUAUUGAACCGCAUGGUUCAAUAGUGAAAGACGGUUUUGCUGUCACUUAUAGAUGGAUCCGCGCCGCAUUAGCUAGUUGGUAAGGUAACGGCUUACCAAGGCAACGAUGCGUAGCCGACCUGAGAGGGUGAUCGGCCACACUGGAACUGAGACACGGUCCAGACUCCUACGGGAGGCAGCAGUAGGGAAUCUUCCGCAAUGGGCGAAAGCUUGACGGAGCAACGCCGCGUGAGUGAUGAAGGUCUUCGGAUCGUAAAACUCUGUUAUUAGGGAAGAACAAAUGUGUAAGUAACUAUGCACGUCUUGACGGUACCUAAUCAGAAAGCCACGGCUAACUACGUG